RNAcentral lists this ribosomal RNA (301 nucleotides) under uncultured bacterium. RNAcentral's name for it is "partial 16S ribosomal RNA". It matches the Rfam family "Bacterial small subunit ribosomal RNA", at positions 509 to 809 of the family's 1533-position model. The record is from RNAcentral.
CAGUCGCCGCGGUAAAACGAAGGGUGCAAGCGUUAAUCGGAAUUACUGGGCGUAAAGCGUGCGUAGGCGGUUUGUUAAGUCUGCUGUGAAAUCCCCGGGCUCAACCUGGGAAUGGCAGUGGAUACUGGCAAGCUAGAGUGCGUCAGAGGAUGGUGGAAUUCCCGGUGUAGCGGUGAAAUGCGUAGAGAUCGGGAGGAACAUCAGUGGCGAAGGCGGCCAUCUGGGACAACACUGACGCUGAGGCACGAAAGCGUGGGGAGCAAACAGGAUUAGAUACCCGCGUAGUCCCUGUCUCUUAUAA